GACGAACGCUGGCGGCGUGCUUAACACAUGCAAGUCGAACGAAGAGCGAUGGAUGCUUGCUUCUAUCAAUCUUAGUGGCGAACGGGUGAGUAACGCGUAGUCAACCUGCCCUUCAGAGGGGGACAACAGUUGGCAACGGCUGCUAAUACCGCAUACGAUAUAAUCUCGGCAUCGAGGAGCGAUGAAAGGUGGCCUCUACAAGUAAGUUAUCACUGAAGGAGGGGAUUGCGCCUGAUUAGGUAGUUGUAGGGGUACCGGCCCACCAAGGCGAUGAUCAGUAGCCGGUCUGAGAGGAUGAACAGCCACAUUGGGAAUAAGACACGGCCCAGACUCCUACGGGAGGCAGCAGUGGGGAAUCUUCCGCAAUGGACGAAAGUCUGACUGAGCAACGCCGCGUGAGUGAUGACGGCCUUCGGGUUGUAAAGCUCUGUUAAUCGGGACGAAAGGCCUUCUUGCGAAUAGUGAGAAGGAUUGACGGUACCGGAAUAGAAAGCCACGGCUAACUACGUG
This 510-nucleotide ribosomal RNA is filed under the name uncultured bacterium. RNAcentral's name for it is "partial 16S ribosomal RNA". It matches the Rfam family "Bacterial small subunit ribosomal RNA", at positions 28 to 507 of the family's 1533-position model. The record is from RNAcentral.